AGAGUUUGAUCCUGGCUCAGAACGAACGCUGGCGGCGUGCCUAACACAUGCAAGUCGAACGAGAAAUUUCACUGAGUAAUCGGAGAAAAAGUAAAGUGGCAGACGGGUGAGUAACAGGUGGGUAACCUGCCCUUAAAUUGGGGAUACCCCAUCGAAAGGUGGGCUAAUACCUAAUAAGACUACAAUCACUUAGGUGGAUGUAGUAAAAGGUAGCCUUUCAAAAGCUUUUGUUUAAGGAGGGGCCCGCCUACCAUUAGCUAGUUGGUAGGGUAAUGGCCUACCAAGGCGACGAUCAGUAGCCGGCCUGAGAGGGCGGUCGGCCACACUGGCACUGAAAUACGGGCCAGACUCCUACGGGAGGCAGCAGUGGGGAAUUUUGGGCAAUGGCCGAAAGGCUGACCCAGCAACGCCGCGUGAAGGAUGAAAUUUUUCGGAAUGUAAACUUCGUAAAUUAGGAAAGAAUAAGUUUGCAUUAAUACUGCAAGCGAUGACGGUACCUAAUGUAAGCCCCGGCUAACUCCGUGCCAGCAGCCGCGGUAAUACGGGGGGGGCAAGCGUUGUUCGGAAUUAUUGGGCGUAAAGGGCGCGUAGGCGGUCAGACUAAGUCGAAUGUAAAAUACCAAGGCUUAACCUAGGCAGGUCGUUCGAUACUAGUCGACUAGAGUGUGGAAGGGGUUACUGGAAUUCCUGGUGUAGCGGUGAAAUGCGUAGAUAUCAGGAGGAACACCGGAGGCGAAGGCGGGUAACUGGGCCAACACUGACGCUGAGGCGCGAAAGCUAGGGGAGCAAACAGGAUUAGAUACCCUGGUAGUCC
This 814-nucleotide ribosomal RNA is filed under the name uncultured bacterium. RNAcentral's name for it is "bacterial SSU rRNA". It matches the Rfam family "Bacterial small subunit ribosomal RNA", at positions 8 to 796 of the family's 1533-position model. The record is from RNAcentral.